GAUUAUCCGUAUAUAACAUUAGCUACGACAGUAUUAUAUAUGGAUUUUUGUCCGUAUGUAAUCCGUAUAUAACCAAAAAUUAUAUACGGAUUUUAGACCUUAUAUACGGAUUUGGGCGGUAGAUAAUGACGUUUUUUCUUGUAGUGAACUUCCUCCAGAGAACUUCAAAUGAGAUGAUUUUUUUUGUUGGAAGGUAGACUCAAAGAGCUUUCAUUUGACUAUAAGUACGUAUUUUUUGGACCUUUGAGUUGAAUGUAGUGAAAUCUUCAAAAUCGUAUACGUUUACUAAGCUUCCUAGAUGUUUAGGUCAUUGACCCAAAUAUAAGGCCUAAAGAAAGAAAUAUGUCCAUAUUUACAAAGCUUAAGAGAAGAAAAUCAAGAUUGAACACCAUCUCCAAAAGAGUAAAGUCCUUCUUCUUCUUCCAUCCUCCUAAUCCUAGUUCAAGUUGUAGCUCUUUGGAUGGAUUCCCACCAAGCUCCUUAGAUGGUUUUCGUCAAAACGUGUUUUUAACAUAUUAACCAAUUAAUCUACAAAGGAUAUGUAAUGAUAUAUUAAUUGAUGGAAUUUAUUGACAAUCAAUUGAUUUUGCCAAUUAAGUUAAAUGAAACGAUUAAAAGUUAGAAUUAAUCGACUAAGUAUUUUAGUGUACACAUCCUCUAUUUUAAGACCUCUACUCAAUGUACGGUCUUAGACUUUUGAAAAGACUUUAUGAAAAUUCUUUUGUACCUUUCCAUUUUAGAUUACUGAGUUCUUGAGAAGGAUUAAAUGGGUGUCAAGGGUGUUGAUUGCCUUCAUGAUUCAUUGCUCUGAACCAAGGUGAAUGUGUGUGGAGAGUUAACAAAAUGCCCAUGUUUGAUUGUUUCUUAUUUUCUCUAUUGUAUUGAUUAUGUGUUGUUGAGUGUUAUGGUGUGUCCAGGUGAUAAGCACUCAAUAUAAGUUAAUUGUAAUAAUAUGACACUUAUCUUGUUUCGAUUAUGUUAAAUAUCUAUGUUAAUCACCAUAAUUUUACUUGUUUUGCAGGUUUUGAUGAAUUUUAGAGUGAAAGUUGAAUUAUUGAGAAAAUAGAGAAAUUUUGAGCAAAAUACAACAAACUAAAUUCAGCGUUGCUGCUACGUGGAAUCUAAGGCUUGAGCCACACAAAGAAAACCCACCAUGGAGGAAAACCUCAAGCUUUAGUUGAGGCUUAAGCCAAGAAGAAUCCUUCACCUAGAAGUAAUCUUAGUAGGCUUCACCAUAGAAACACAAGUCCUGAGUCAUAGAGGAAACCCACCUUGGGGGAAACCUCACAGUUGGGCCGUGGAAGCCACCGUUGAAGCCACAAUGUUAGUGUCUACAAAAAAAAAAAAAAAUUCUCCUCUAUUUUCGAGAGCUUUUUGGAGUUUCCUCCAUGCAUUACCUUAUUUUCAUAUAUUAUGAGGAGCUAAAUAGGUGUUGAAUUGAGAUGUUGAAACUCUCUUGUAUUUGGUACUAUUUUUAUUUAUGAAUGUUUGCUUUUGAUUACAUGUUUGUGAAUUACUUCAUACUUGUUGGAUGAACUGAUCACUCAUCUUAUUUCACUAGAUUGAGAUUAAGUGAAAACAAGUUUCAAGUUCUGGUCCAAUCAAUUAUCAUGUAUGUUUUAGAUGCUAGGAAUAGAUUUAAGCUUACAAUUGGAUAUACAAUCCUAAU
This 1669-nucleotide long non-coding RNA is filed under the name Vigna radiata. RNAcentral describes it as "long non-coding RNA (VRAD_LNC002936)". Lineage: Eukaryota; Viridiplantae; Streptophyta; Magnoliopsida; Fabales; Fabaceae. The record is from RNAcentral.